AGCUAAUAAUUUAUAGAGCUCCAAACGGAGACUAAAAAGUAGAGAGUUCCUCCGUAUGUAGGUGAAAUGCGAGAAACUGAUGUUGGAAUGACUUUCCAAAGAAUACAUUGAUUUUGUUGUUGUUGCUGUUGUUGCCAGAACGUCUAACGAUAAUAGCUGUACAGAUAAAAUAGAACAUGGAACGGAAAGGACAUUCGAAAGACAAGGUGAUCACCGAUUGCCAAUUGCCAUUGGCCAUGGUUCUUUACUUUUCCUUGGUCCCUUUGCCUACUCCAUCCUGAUCACAAUCAUACUAGCACCCACGGGCACGGCCACGGACCACGGUCCACCACGGCGCUGCUGUCUCGAAGCCACGUCAGCGUCACGCGGCUGAUGAUGGGGGGCGCCGCAGCGCACUCAAUGCCACGCGGGGCUCACCCCGGAAGCAUGCGCGGGGAGGGCCCACGACGUCCGUCCGUCUCCGUCCUCGGCCCGCGGCCGCGGGGCCAUGAGCGCGGACCGCCAGACCGGGUCCACCUCGCCGUCGGCGGCCGCGGCGAGCCACGCGUCGACCCCCUCGAGGAGCGCGCGCCUGCCGGUCGGCGGAGACACCAGCCGGUCCCCCGGCACGCCGAUGGCCGCGGCGCCCCCGUCGACGAGGGAGCGGAAGAAGACGUCGCGCAGCUCCCACGGCCCCGCGGCGGACACGCCCAGCCCGCCGCUGCACUCCUGCCAGGGGAACUGGAAAACCCCCGGCGGCCGCCGCGACGCCUCCCCGCCGUCGUCGCCCUCCCCCGCCGUCGCCGCGGCCUCCUCGAAUGGGAAGUCCGGCGGCGCGGCGUGGACCUCCUCCUCCCUCGCGCCGCGCUUCGCCUUGCACACCGGCUGCCGCUGGUCGUCCAUGCACGCGCACUGCGCCGCGUCAGAAAUCCAUAAUUCAGAGGAAGAAGAAGAAGGAAUCACCGCCAUCGACACACAUGCAUGAUGCGUAUGCAUCGUCAUUGGAUGGUAUAUGGUAGUACCUCGUACGAUCGAGAAGGCAGCAGAGAGAGAGAGAGCAGGAUCGGGUGGGAGAGGUUUUGCGCGCUG
This 1068-nucleotide long non-coding RNA is filed under the name Zea mays. RNAcentral's name for it is "long non-coding RNA (ZMAY_LNC001211)". The record is from RNAcentral. Lineage: Eukaryota; Viridiplantae; Streptophyta; Magnoliopsida; Poales; Poaceae.